GCGGUAUUUCUUCACUGUCGUGGUUUGCCGGAGAGCUAGAAAUCGGGUGCGUAGGGAGCCGUCUUGCGAAGGCUGAAAAAGGUACUGCAAAUGAACCUUCAAUUCCUCCCAAUUAUUCAUUGGUCACCGGCAUUCCUCCCACUAAAACCAUGCUAGGGCAUCUCCAUCUAAGCACAUGGCGGCGGCAUCCCCUUUUUCCUUCUCUGUUAGUCGGUUUAUAAUGAAAUAUCGCUCCACCUUGAAUAUCCACCCAUCCGGGUCAGUUCCAUCGAACACCGACAUGUCUAGACCCCAAAUGUGUGAUUCUGUUCUCCCUCCAUCGUCAAAUCUACCUUCUUUGUCCUAGUUUCCUCCCGAACUUGCCUGUGCACCCAUUAAACCAAAUGAUGAAUCGAACAACUAUGGGUUGACCAUCCUCUUUUCUUUCCAUUCCAUUUCCUGUGACUCCAAUGAUCUAAACAUUAGCUUAAAUAUCCAUUUCAAAUCUGCUUGCAGUUGUUGGAAGUCGGUCCAUAAAGCAUCCAUGCCGGACCGUAAAGCUAAUUGGUUGGCUGUAACUUGUUGCUUCAAAAAUCCCAUGGGAUUUGUAAGUGUUAUGGUUAGAUUAGGUGCUCUGAUACCACUUGGUAGACUGAAGAUCAAGAAUUAAGUAAGCUAGAAAUUUUUUUUAUGAAUUCCUUUAAUUGAAAACUGAAAAUACAAAAGGAAAAUC
RNAcentral lists this long non-coding RNA (712 nucleotides) under Olea europaea (common olive). Its description in RNAcentral is "long non-coding RNA (OEUR_LNC004275)". The record is from RNAcentral. Lineage: Eukaryota; Viridiplantae; Streptophyta; Magnoliopsida; Lamiales; Oleaceae.